GAUGAACGCUGGCGGCGUGCCUAAUACAUGCAAGUCGAGCGAACAGACGAGGAGCUUGCUCCUCUGACGUUAGCGGCGGACGGGUGAGUAACACGUCGAUAACCUACCUAUAAGACUGGGAUAACUUCGGGAAGCCGGAGCUAAUACCGGAUAAUAUAUUGAACCGCAUGGUUCAAUAGUGAAAGACGGUUUUGCUGUCACUUAUAGAUGGAUCCGCGCCGCAUUAGCUAGUUGGUAAGGUAACGGCUUACCAAGGCGACGAUGCGUAGCCGACCUGAGAGGGUGAUCGGCCACACUGGAACUGAGACACGGUCCAGACUCCUACGGGAGGCAGCAGUAGGGAAUCUUCCGCAAUGGGCGAAAGCCUGACGGAGCAACGCCGCGUGAGUGAUGAAGGUCUUCGGAUCGUAAAACUCUGUUAUUAGGGAAGAACAAAUGUGUAAGUAACUAUGCACGUCUUGACGGUACCUAAUCAGAAAGCCACGGCUAACUACGUG
This 497-nucleotide ribosomal RNA is filed under the name uncultured bacterium. RNAcentral's name for it is "partial 16S ribosomal RNA". It matches the Rfam family "Bacterial small subunit ribosomal RNA", at positions 28 to 507 of the family's 1533-position model. The record is from RNAcentral.